GUGGGGAAUCUUAGACAAUGGGGGAAACCCUGAUCUAGCCAUGCCGCGUGAGCGAUGAAGGCCUUAGGGUUGUAAAGCUCUUUCAGCUGGGAAGAUAAUGACGGUACCAGCAGAAGAAGCCCCGACUAACUCCGUGCCAGCAGCCGCGGUAAUACGGAGGGGGCUAGCGUUGUUCGGAAUUACUGGGCGUAAAGCGCACGUAGGCGGACUGGAAAGUCAGGGGUGAAAUCCCGGGGCUCAACCCCGGAACUGCCUUUGAAACUCCCAGUCUUGAGUUCGAGAGAGGUGAGUGGAAUUCCGAGUGUAGAGGUGAAAUUCGUAGAUAUUCGGAGGAACACCAGUGGCGAAGGCGGCUCACUGGCUCGAUACUGACGCUGAGGUGCGAAAGCGUGGGGAGCAAACAGGAUUAGAAACCCCUGUAGUCC
Molecule: ribosomal RNA, 425 nt
Filed under: uncultured bacterium
Lineage: Bacteria
Description: partial 16S ribosomal RNA
Rfam family: Bacterial small subunit ribosomal RNA
Source: RNAcentral